This 77-nucleotide transfer RNA is filed under the name Victivallis vadensis. RNAcentral describes it as "tRNA-His". It matches the Rfam family "tRNA". From Rfam's summary of the family: Transfer RNA (tRNA) molecules are approximately 80 nucleotides in length. Their secondary structure includes four short double-helical elements and three loops (D, anti-codon, and T loops). RNAcentral also lists the same sequence under 7 other names. Lineage: Bacteria; Pseudomonadati; Lentisphaerota; Lentisphaeria; Victivallales; Victivallaceae. The record is from RNAcentral.
GUGGUUGUAGCUCAGUUGGUUAGAGCGCCUGGUUGUGGCCCAGGAGGUCGCCGGUUCAAGUCCGGUCUACCACCCCA